GCCCAUGACACGGCCCUUGGGGUGGAUUAUUAUUCUUGCUCAAGGCGGAAGAGCAAGCGAAGAGCCGGAGGAGCUUGGGUUCCCAUGAUGUCCUGGGUCGCCUACUGCCUACAGACUUUUUGUUCCUGAGGAAGAAAUCACUUCAUCUGGUUUAGAGGAAGAUGAGCCCUUUGAGCUAGCUAAUCUUCACACAUCACGUUGGCAUCCAUCCAGACGAAAGCUUACUGCAGCCAAAGCAUUCGCCUAAAAUGGAAAAUGCCAAACCACGUGAGAUGCCAACUUCAGGAGCCACGGCGUCAGGCGUCACCCUAAGGCCUCCUUCCACUCGUCUCUGGACUUCAGUCACAAUGUCUUCCUUGAUCCAGAUGAAUGGUCUUCCUGCUCUUGGCUUAUAUUUGAAGCUACCCUUCAGAUGGCAGAUCCAUCGACACAUUAUUGUCUUGUGUGGGGCAGCAUUCUUCCAGUAAACGUGUUGCAGAGCUUCGA
Long non-coding RNA from Echinops telfairi (small Madagascar hedgehog), 486 nucleotides. RefSeq lists it as uncharacterized. The record is from RefSeq and is a predicted model, not a curated record. The transcript has 2 exons. NCBI's taxonomy places the organism in Eukaryota, Metazoa, Chordata, Mammalia, Afrosoricida, Tenrecidae.